This 495-nucleotide ribosomal RNA is filed under the name uncultured bacterium. RNAcentral's name for it is "partial 16S ribosomal RNA". It matches the Rfam family "Bacterial small subunit ribosomal RNA", at positions 28 to 507 of the family's 1533-position model. The record is from RNAcentral.
GACGAACGCUGGCGGCGUGCCUAAUACAUGCAAGUAGAACGCUGAAGGAGGAGCUUGCUUCUCUGGAUGAGUUGCGAACGGGUGAGUAACGCGUAGGUAACCUGCCUGGUAGCGGGGGAUAACUAUUGGAAACGAUAGCUAAUACCGCAUAAGAGUAGAUGUUGCAUGACAUUUGCUUAAAAGGUGCAAUUGCAUCACUACCAGAUGGACCUGCGUUGUAUUAGCUAGUUGGUGAGGUAACGGCUCACCAAGGCGACGAUACAUAGCCGACCUGAGAGGGUGAUCGGCCACACUGGGACUGAGACACGGCCCAGACUCCUACGGGAGGCAGCAGUAGGGAAUCCUCGGCAAUGGACGGAAGUCUGACCGAGCAACGCCGCGUGAGUGAAGAAGGGUUUCGGAUCGUAAAGCUCUGUUGUAAGAGAAGAACGAGUGUGAGAGUGGAAAGUUCACACUGUGACGGUAUCUUACCAGAAAGGGACGGCUAACUACGUG